UACGUAGGGUGCAAGCGUUAAUCGGUAUUACUGGGCGUAAAGCGUGCGCAGGCGGUGAUGUAAGACAGAUGUGAAAUCCCCGGGCUCAACCUGGGAACUGCAUUUGUGACUGCAUCGCUGGAGUGCGGCAGAGGGGGAUGGAAUUCCGCGUGUAGCAGUGAAAUGCGUAGAUAUGCGGAGGAACACCGAUGGCGAAGGCAAUCCCCUGGGCCUGCACUGACGCUCAUGCACGAAAGCGUGGGGAGCAAACAGG
This 253-nucleotide ribosomal RNA is filed under the name uncultured bacterium. RNAcentral describes it as "partial 16S ribosomal RNA". It matches the Rfam family "Bacterial small subunit ribosomal RNA", at positions 524 to 776 of the family's 1533-position model. The record is from RNAcentral.